RNAcentral lists this ribosomal RNA (1299 nucleotides) under bioreactor metagenome. RNAcentral's name for it is "bacterial LSU rRNA". It matches the Rfam family "Bacterial large subunit ribosomal RNA", at positions 697 to 1996 of the family's 2925-position model. The record is from RNAcentral.
UAGUUAGUAGGGGUAGACGCGAAACUUUGUGAUCUAUCCUUGGUCAGGCUGAAGUUCCGGUAAAACGGGAUGGAGGGCCGAACCAGUAAACGUUGAAAAGUUUUUGGAUGAACUGAGGAUAGGGGUGAAAGGCCAAUCAAACUGAGAAAUAGCUCGUACUCCCCGAAAUGCAUUUAGGUGCAGCCUUGAGUCGAGUUUUGCAGAGGUAGAGCUACUGAUAAGGCUAGAGGGCUUCAUCGCCUAUCAAACCUUGAUAAACUCCGAAUGCUGCAAAAUAAUGACCAGGAGUGAGGCUAUGGGUGCUAAGAUCCAUGGCCAAAAGGGAAAUAGCCCAGACCAUCAGCUAAGGUCCCCAAGUAUAUGUUAAGUUGGAAAAACGAAGUGCGACUGCCCAGACAGCUAGGAUGUUGGCUUGGAAGCAGCCAUUCAUUUAAAGAGUGCGUAACAGCUCACUAGUCGAGCGGUUGUGCGUGGAUAAUAAACGGGCAUAAGCAUAUUACCGAAGCUAUGGACUCAUCCCGAGAAAUCGGGAUGAUUGGUAGGGGAGCAUUCCAGUCGGCGUGGAAGAAGUGUCGCGAGGCAUUUUGGAGCGUCUGGAAAAGAAGAUGUAGGCAUAAGUAACGAUAAGGCAGGCGAGAAACCUGCCCACCGAAAGACUAAGGUUUCCUGAUCAACGCUAAUCGGAUCAGGGUUAGUCGGGUCCUAAGGGUAAGCCGCGUGGCGAUCCUAAUGGACAACUGGUUAAUAUUCCAGUACCACCGUUUACCGCGACGGGGCGACGGAGGAGUGAAAGAUCCGCGUACUGACGGAAUAGUACGUUAAAGGGUGUAGUUAUACCUUUUGGUUAACAGCUAAUAGGUGAUGAACCUGAUAGUACCAUGAGCCUUCGGGCGAGUGGAUAGUGAUCCUAAUCAUACUUCCAAGAAAACCCUCUAAGCAUCAAGUAAAUGGUGCCCGUACCACAAACCGACACAGGUAGUCGAGGAGAGAAUCCUAAGGUGCUCGAGUGAUCCGUGGCUAAGGAACUAGGCAAAUUAGACCUGUAACUUUGGAAUAAAGGUCUCCCUGAGAGAUCAGGGACGCAGAUAAACGGCCCAGGCGACUGUUUAGCAAAAACACAUGGCUUUGCGAAAUCGAAAGAUGAAGUAUAAGGCCUGACACCUGCCCGGUGCCGGAAGGUUAAGAGGGGAUGUUAUCGCAAGAGAAGCAUUGAAUUGAAGCCCCGGUAAACGGCGGCCGUAACUAUAACGGUCCUAAGGUAGCGAAAUUCCUUGUCGGGUAAGUUCCGACCUGCACGAA